Molecule: ribosomal RNA, 253 nt
Filed under: uncultured bacterium
Lineage: Bacteria
Description: partial 16S ribosomal RNA
Rfam family: Bacterial small subunit ribosomal RNA
Source: RNAcentral
GACGAACCGUGCGAACGUUGUUCGGCAUCACUGGGCUUACCGGGCGCGUAGGCGGGUCUGCAAGUCCGGGGUGAAAGCCCCCAGCUCAACUGGGGAAGUGCCUUGGAAACUGCGGGUCUCGAGGGAGGUAGGGGCAUGUGGAACUUCGGGUGGAGCGGUGAAAUGCGUUGAUAUCCGAAGGAACGCCGGUGGCGAAAGCGACGUGCUGGAUCUCUUCUGACGCUGAGGCGCGAAAGCUAGGGGAGCGAACGGG